Molecule: ribosomal RNA, 517 nt
Filed under: uncultured bacterium
Lineage: Bacteria
Description: partial 16S ribosomal RNA
Rfam family: Bacterial small subunit ribosomal RNA
Source: RNAcentral
AACGAACGCUGGCGGCGUGCCUAACACAUGCAAAUCGAACGGGAUUAAGGAGCUUGCUCCUUAAUCUAGUGGCGCACGGGUGAGUAACGCGUAGAUAAUCUGCCUGAUGAUCUGGAAUAACACUUCGAAAGGGGUGCUAAUACCGGAUAAGCCCACGAGUACUUUGGUGCUUGCGGGAAAAGGAGGGGACCUUUUGGCCUUCCGUCAUCAGAUGAGUCUGCGUACCAUUAGCUAGUUGGUAGGGUAAAGGCCUACCAAGGCGACGAUGGUUAGCUGGUCUGAGAGGAUGAUCAGCCACACUGAACUGAGACACGGUCCAGACUCCUACGGGAGGCAGCAGUGGGGAAUUUUGCGCAAUGGGCGAAAGCCUGACGCAGCAACGCCGCGUGAGUGAUGAAGGCUUUCGGGUCGUAAAGCUCUGUCAGGGGGAAAGAAGUGUAUUGUGGUUAAUACCCAUGAUACUUGACGGUACCCCCAAAGGAAGCACCGGCUAACUCCGUGCCAGCCGCCGCGGUAA